CGAAGGGCCAUUUUCAAGGAAGUUGGACAGAAGGAUGUCCAGUUCUUCCAAGAAAUGACCUAAAGAGCCUGGCAGACGGAACAUCAGAGGACCUGGGCCGUGCUGCUCCUCUGACCCCCUGUGCAACUUUACCGAAGGACAUCCUGAAGACAAACAAUGGCAGAGAACAAAGUUAGUCAGCGGUUCCCAAGCUCCCGUCUGCCGUCACACUCAACACGAACUAUAAUGCCAGGAUGGACAUGACACUAUGCUGACAGCUGAGCAUGUUCUAGAGCGGCGCCCUGCGGCAGACUUCUGUGUUCGGA
Molecule: long non-coding RNA, 305 nt
Organism: Gasterosteus aculeatus aculeatus (three-spined stickleback)
Lineage: Eukaryota; Metazoa; Chordata; Actinopteri; Perciformes; Gasterosteidae
Source: Ensembl